UACGAAGGGGGCUAGCGUUGCUCGGAAUCACUGGGCGUAAAGCGCACGUAGGCGGCCUACUAAGUCAGGGGUGAAAUCCUGGAGCUCAACUCCAGAACUGCCUUUGAUACUGAAGAUCUUGAGUUCGGGAGAGGUGAGUGGAACUGCGAGUGUAGAGGUGAAAUUCGUAGAUAUUCGCAAGAACACCAGUGGCGAAGGCGGCUCACUGGCCCGAUACUGACGCUGAGGCACGAAAGCGUGGGGAGCAAACAGG
This 253-nucleotide ribosomal RNA is filed under the name uncultured bacterium. Its description in RNAcentral is "partial 16S ribosomal RNA". It matches the Rfam family "Bacterial small subunit ribosomal RNA", at positions 524 to 776 of the family's 1533-position model. The record is from RNAcentral.